RNAcentral lists this long non-coding RNA (759 nucleotides) under Olea europaea (common olive). RNAcentral describes it as "long non-coding RNA (OEUR_LNC006608)". The record is from RNAcentral. Lineage: Eukaryota; Viridiplantae; Streptophyta; Magnoliopsida; Lamiales; Oleaceae.
AAAAAUCGUACCUGCUGAUUUUCCGAGCUUGAUGACUGGUGAGGAGCACGAACGUGAUCUUCCGAUACCUGAAACAAAGGCAACGAGGUGUGUUCUCGUCGCCCCUCCGAUGCUUAAGUCAGAAAGGGAAAUAUAUGCGUGAGGCUAUGUGCUGAAGAACAAUGAGAAACGUACCUGAAUAAUGGCCCAAGGUUCUGCUUUUAUAGGAGUAGGUAGUGUACUCCUAGUAGGAUUGUGUUGGUUGGAUGUUUUUAUCCAAGGGAAUUUCUAUUAUAAAGAAUGUCCUACUUGUAAUGGAAUUGUUUGACAAGUGGUGUUAGGGUUGAUGUAGAAUCCUUGGGUGUUUAGGUUUGUUAGUUAGGUACCCAGGUCUUAGGAGGUAUGUUGGUGGUGUAUGUCUCGAGGACUAUUCUCGAGGACAUUGAGGGAAUGUAAAUGUGUCCUCGAGGUAUCUCGAGGACUAAGGUAUCUCGAGGACUUAGAUGACCUCGAGGAUAGAAGAAGAGAAAUGAGGUGGGGUAUAGAUUGAGUCCUCGGGAUACACUCCUCGGGGUAUACCAAUAUUGGCAUAGUCACUGGCCCCCGUGCACUCGUCCUAGAGAUCGAGCUCUUAGGAUGGGGUGCACAUGGGUUAUGUCAUUUCUCGAACUUUCGUCGAGAAGUGAUGGCUGAUGAUAUAGGUCGAGAUAUGACCGUUGCAGAGAGUGGCUUGGAUUUGUGACACGUGUAUUCGUGGACGGUCGUAGAUAGCGACCUUUG